AAAAAAAUCAAGACACACAAAAAAAAAAGAUUUCUCUUUUUGAAACAUAUCUAGGUUGAUAAAAACAUAAUCCCAAAAUAAAAACAUAAUCUUAAAGAAGUUCACACAAGAUGUUACGAAUUUAAAGAAACAGAAAAUAUGUCAUCAUAAAAUCAAACAUGAGGGAUAAUCAAACGAAUCAGAAGAUUGCAAUCUUCAGGCCAGCUCGAGCUCCGGUGAAACCUUGAUGAUUUGCUUUUGCUGCUUCCUCUUCACUCACCAGAAGAGGCAGCCACCAUCCACUAGUAGGGCAAAGAUGCCCAACAAGAUCAGGUAGAACUGUCUUGGUGGGAUCAGAUCCGUCAUAUUUGGUCCGCUCUCCAUCUAAAAUUUUUAUCUAGAUCUUAUUCUUAAUCUUUGUUCUAAGAAGCGUUUGAUUCAAUAAACAUACCUUGGUUGCGUCACAUAUGUCUUUCAGAGGAGUCAAGAAGCAGAGCACAAACUUCGAUUGGAAAUUGUUUCGUUGAGUUUUUUUUUAUGAAGUAGUGGUUUGUUUUGUUUUGAACUUUGAAGGGUAACUAACAGUCUAAUAAGUCUUAGUACUCUAACACUAAAUUAAUUAUACUUUAGAACACAAGUAAAGUAUAACUAACCGUCUAAUAAGUCUUAGUGCUCUAACAAUAAAUUUUCACAAUCCAUCUCUUGAUCUCUUCACGUCAUUCACCGGCCAGCUCGAGCUCCGGUGAAAUCAUGAUGAUUUGUUUUUGCUGCUAGCUUCCUCUUCACGUACCAAAAGAGCAUGAAGAGGAAGCAACCAACCACAAGUAGGGCAAAGAUGCCUAGCAAGAUCAGGUAGAACUGUCCUGGUGAGAUAUGAUCCGUAACAUUUGGUCCGUCCAUCUACAAAGACAUAUACAAAAAAAUUAAUAUUAGGCUAAUGGAUUACCCCUUUGAUAUUUAGGUGGGGGUAUUGGACGCAUGAAUUUGAUAUACUUUAAUAGAAUCUUAAAUUCUAGUGUUAUUCAAUUAGACAUUUCACAAAUUCUUUUAAAUUCUUGUGUUAUUUAACUUGCUCAUUUCUUAAUUCUAUUAAUUGCAAUUGUUAUUAACUUUUUCGGUAGUUUUGUGUGACAACGUUACUUCACAAGAAUUUAAUAGAAAAAUUUGUCUCAAAUGGUUUAUGCAUGGGUUCACACACAAGAGGUAUAGCGAUGGUAGGUGUUUUUGUUUCAAGUUCAUUUCGGUAAUCUUUUAAUUUUGCCUUUUUUUUUAAUUUACUUAUG
RNAcentral lists this small RNA (1262 nucleotides) under Arabidopsis thaliana (thale cress). Its description in RNAcentral is "ATSL257470". The record is from RNAcentral. Lineage: Eukaryota; Viridiplantae; Streptophyta; Magnoliopsida; Brassicales; Brassicaceae.